This 446-nucleotide ribosomal RNA is filed under the name uncultured bacterium. RNAcentral describes it as "partial 16S ribosomal RNA". It matches the Rfam family "Bacterial small subunit ribosomal RNA", at positions 338 to 795 of the family's 1533-position model. The record is from RNAcentral.
CCUACGGGAGGCUGCAGUCGAGAAUCAUUCACAAUGGGGGCAACCCUGAUGGUGCGACGCCGCGUGGGGGAAUGAAGGUCUUCGGAUUGUAAACCCCUGUCAUGUGGGAGCAAAUUAAAAAGAUAGUACCACAAGAGGAAGAGACGGCUAACUCUGUGCCAGCAGCCGCGGUAAUACAGAGGUCUCAAGCGUUGUUCGUAAUCACUGGGCGUAAGGCGUGCGUAGGCUGUUUCGUAAGUCGUGUGUGAAAGGCGCGGGCUCAACCCGCGGACGGCACAUGAUACUGCGAGACUAGAGUAAUGGAGGGGGAACCGGAAUUCGCGGUGUAGCAGUGAAAUGCGUAGAUAUCGAGAGGAACACUCGUGGCGAAGGCGGGUUCCUGGACAUUAACUGACGCUGAGGCACGAAGGCCAGGGGAGCGAAAGGGAUUAGAUACCCUUGUAGUC